RNAcentral lists this signal recognition particle RNA (94 nucleotides) under Desulfovibrio sp. RNAcentral's name for it is "signal recognition particle sRNA small type". It matches the Rfam family "Bacterial small signal recognition particle RNA". Rfam says of the family: The signal recognition particle (SRP) is a universally conserved ribonucleoprotein involved in the co-translational targeting of proteins to membranes. Archaeal SRP consists of a 7S RNA and homologues of the eukaryotic SRP19 and SRP54 proteins. Lineage: Bacteria; Pseudomonadati; Thermodesulfobacteriota; Desulfovibrionia; Desulfovibrionales; Desulfovibrionaceae. The record is from RNAcentral.
CCCAAUGGUCGGACGGCGGCAACGCCGCGAACCCCGUCAGGUCCGAAAGGAAGCAGCGGUAGUGGAUGUUGCCGGGUGUCCGGCCAUUUCCUUU